This 253-nucleotide ribosomal RNA is filed under the name uncultured bacterium. Its description in RNAcentral is "partial 16S ribosomal RNA". It matches the Rfam family "Bacterial small subunit ribosomal RNA", at positions 524 to 776 of the family's 1533-position model. The record is from RNAcentral.
UACGUAGGGGGCUAGCGUUGUCCGGAAUCAUUGGGCGUAAAGCGCGUGUAGGCGGUCCGGUAAGUCCGCUGUGAAAGUCGGGGGCUCAACCCUCGAAUGCCGGUGGAUACUGUCGGGCUCGAGUGCGGGAGAGGCGAGUGGAAUUCCUGGUGUAGCGGUGAAAUGCGCAGAUAUCAGGAGGAACACCAAUUGCGAAGGCAGCUCGCUGGAACGUUACUGACGCUGAGACGCGAAAGCGUGGGGAGCAAACAGG